CACCCGUUUCCUUCUUUCUCUUUUAGCUCCCUUUCACAUCUCUCUUUCUACAAGUGCAGAAAGCCACCCACACUGUACCACCCUCGCUAGAACGACAAGCAUCGCCACACCACCUCGCCAUCUUCGGCGAGAUUCACCAAGCCAAUACUUGAACUCUCUCUCUCUCUCUCUCUCUUUUUCUCCCUCUCAUUAGUUUCUCUCGCAUGGACUCUCACUGCUCACGGCUCGAGAGGAUUCCGGUGAGGACAUGAUGUUUUCGACAAAGUUUUGGUUCAGAAAAAUUCAGGGAAAACUCUCCCCUAGUUUUUUGGCAGCUUUUGAGCCUUUUUCCAGCCAACUUCGGCCACGGCUAAGGAAACCAAAGUGUAGGUCACUUAUUGGAAUUGGAGAAGCCUUCAGCACGUAUUUAUUUCAUAGAUCACAAGUCUAUGCAAUACUGAACUGACAAGGAGAAGAAGAAAAACAAAAACAAAAGAAAGCUGCAUAUUUCCUCUCCCAUUUUCCAGGGUUAGCCUCCAUACAAAACCGGAAUAAAGAGAGAUCUUAGUGAAGUUAAAUUGGAGAGAAAUAUGGUGAAUCACCUACACAAAGUAGUUUCAAAUUCAUGGGUCUUUGCCAAAAGCAUAAUUCGGGAUAUUUGGCUGCACAAUUUGUUCAAUUCCAGAGGAAGUCUGAUCACUUUCAGCCAUGGUGGAUAUCUAUUUGGAGAUGAAACUUCAACUGGAAUUGAGCGGAUAAUUAAAGAAGGCACAGAGGGGGUUUGCAACAGCAAGUAGACUAAAGGUACAAGGGAAAACGUUGGCAAAUGGAGAAAGUAAUCAAGGUGUGUUUAUUGUACAAAGUGGCUAGUAGAUAAUUGAAGAGUUCUUCGGUUUUCUUUUCUUCUAAUGUUGUCAAUAAAUGGGUUUUAACUCAUUGUCAGUUACAGAGAAGAAAAUUAAAACAGAAGAGGAAAAAGAAAAAGGAACGGAUCAAUUAUUCACAAGAAAAGAAAAGGGUAAACGGCAGCGGCAAACCAGGGGAUUUUUUAGGCCUUUUCUAAAAUAAAUUUUCUUAUUAUUUCUUAUGGAUUCAGUACCAAUUUUGAUUAUGUUUUGGAACUAAUUUCAUUUUGCUAGGGCUAUGAUGUAGCCUAACCAUGAUUGCUUAAUGUUUCAGUUUAAUUAUUUAUGAAUUUGCAUUCCCUUGAGUAUCA
Pyrus x bretschneideri (Chinese white pear) is the source of this 1195-nucleotide long non-coding RNA. RefSeq lists it as uncharacterized. NCBI's taxonomy places the organism in Eukaryota, Viridiplantae, Streptophyta, Magnoliopsida, Rosales, Rosaceae. The record is from RefSeq and is a predicted model, not a curated record. The transcript has 3 exons.